This is a long non-coding RNA of Numida meleagris (helmeted guineafowl), 1342 nucleotides long. RefSeq lists it as uncharacterized. NCBI's taxonomy places the organism in Eukaryota, Metazoa, Chordata, Aves, Galliformes, Numididae. The transcript has 4 exons. The record is from RefSeq and is a predicted model, not a curated record.
GGCGGGUCGUGGGCGCGCAUGCGCGGUGGCUGCUGAGAAGGGAGCGGGACGACCCUGAGGAAGGGGCGCGGGUGGCGGGAAGCUGAGUCGGUGGCUCCUGAGAGGGCGAGGCAGAGAGGACGCUCUGCCUUCAGCCCUCAGGCGUCGUUUGGGGGCAGGGAGAUGCCGCGAGCGAGAAGCCAUGAGGCGGGCCCGAACUGAGGGGAGUGGAGUUGGCAGAAAGGAGAAGGAAACCGGAGGGAGCUGGAGCUGGUGUAUGCACAAACCUGCACUGCAGAGACAGCAUCAUCACCUGGACAAGGCGUGUGUCUGCUCUGACCAUGUCUGGAGACGACCCAAAGCUGCAGCAGCUCCCUGACACGCUGAUGCCAAGAUGCUUGCAUGGUGGAAAUGGGGGAAGAGAGAAACAGAGGGUUUUGGUAGCUGUUUUCUGUCAGAGCAGGAAGAAAGCUGUGCUUCCUGACAAGAAACGUUGUACAAAGUGGAUGGAUGAAUGCUGUGGAAUGCUCAGGUGCUGGAGCUGGGCUGACCGUGUAAGAGCAGUAGGAUCCUGCCUCUGCUCUGCCCAUCCUAAGAAUGCAUAGAGGGCUGUUCGGACUACGAGAAUGAAAGCAGACGUUCAUUUGUACAUAUUGUCCAUUUCAUCUGUGCAAAGUUGCAGCACACCGAUUUCACAAAGCAGAUCAGCACCACAAGUUAUUUUAAAGCACGAUGUGCUCUUACUUAACAGGCUCCUACCACUUCCCAAGUGAUGCCGAGCCAGGUCCAGGCACGCAGUGUCCAUAGUGAAGGGACACCCUGCCAGGCUCUGCUUUUAGCAUCACGUGCUGCCGUGGCUCUGGCAGGUGUGAAUGGUGAUCACUUGUUGCUUUAAUCAUGGGAGAAACUUACACCAACAACAGGUAGGAUACCCUAGCGACCUCUAAUAAUAGCAGGAACGUCACAUACUCAUCUAUAACCUUUUUUUUUCCCUCUCUGAAAAGAGGAUAAAUGGACCAGGAACAGUAAAGCUUACUUUGAUGAGAACAGAGGUUAUAUUCUGCCUAUGCAAUUAAGUUUCAUGUUAUGAAGUCACAACUGCGUUGACCCGCUCCCCAUUAAACGCUGUCUUUGAAAGCACUAUAAAAUGGAUUGGGUCUUUUGUAAGCAUUGCAAAAAAUGCAAAAACUAAUUUCUGACUGCUCGAUUUGGAGCACGAUGCAGAAAAGGUGGAUUAGCCAAGGAAUUUACAUUUCUACUUCCAAUUGUUGUAUUUAGCUCCUGCCUACUGAAAUGCUUCCAUCAUUAUCAAUGCCACCUCAAAUAAUUACUAAAAUAUUUAUAAAUUUACUUGUUUCCAAGU